GAGGAAAUAGCACAGUGGCUCCAUAUGUAUUGCAUGACUGCUAUGGACAAGGGACCGGGCUUGAUGCUGCUGAGUCAGACAGGGCCCUCCCUCAAGUGGCUCUCAGGCUACGAUGGAAGGAGGGCAGGGCUCUGAACAUUGUGAUUCAAGGGCGAAAGAAAGAAGGGUCAGGAGAAGUGCAAGGCAGGGACGAGUCCUGAGAAAGGAAUGGUCAGUGUGCUCUUUUGGAUACGAUCUGGAAGCAGGCGUGCAAAGGCACCUCUGUGACCUGAAGGAGGGAGGACGGGGCUGCUGCUGGGGUAGAGAUGGGAGGAGGACGAUGGGCACAAGGAGGCAGGGAGAAGAUUCUCUUAGGUUAGAGGCACCGUGAAAAGAGAUAUCUCAAAGCCAGAUACAAGGAGAGCAAGACCUCACCCCUGCCGACCCCUCAGAGCUGCGGCCUCCCCUUGACCUUGAACCCCUUCCUUUGCAACUUCACCUGCAAUCUCAGAGCUCCCAGGCUCUGUCUUAGCAGGAGCCCACCUCUGUCUGUCUUCUUCCUUUUCCCCUCUCUCCUCUCCUUCCCUAGCAGCCAGGUCUCUGCACAGGAAGGACUAAUGUAGUAAAAUGACCAAAAUGACUAAAUUAGUAAUGACCUAGCCAAUUUGCUGCUUAGAGGUCUAUCUCGAAGAGCGGCACUCUGUCCCUCCACUGCAGGUAGACAGGAAGACGUGUAAGGACUUGGAACGAAGGAUGUCAGGAACCGAUCACCAGCAACCAAAGGAGAAUGGUGAGAAGGAGGAACCAGGGCUGGCGCUGACCACACCGAGUGGAUGGGAAGUGGGACAGGCUUGUGCCCUGUGGUGCCGAUGAUAAGUCAGCUUCCUACAUGAUACCACUGUGUUUCAGUGAGAGACGAAUUACACAAACAAAAUGUUCUUCACAGAUGGAUGAGAUGCCUGAGGAUGAUAUCUGGGUAGGACACCUGACUUCAAGGGCUAGUAAGAAGUUCAAAGAAGAAGGGGGCCAAAUGCAUCCAAGAAGGUGGCUGCCCUGGAUCAACAUGCACAGCUCUGUAAAAAUGCACACAAAAAUGGCACCCUGCUCCUCAUGGAGGGCGGACCCCAGAAGUGCCCAAUAUAUGAAUAGUAUAAAUCCCAACUCCAGGCAAAAUGGACCCCUUGACCUGUUUUAAUGGUCUAAUAAGCAGAUCUUCCUUGAGAAGGGCCUCUUGACGUGGAGAAAGGGAAAUCGUCUUGCACUGUUGGUGGGAAUGUGAACUGGUACAGCCACUCUGGAAAACUGCGUGGAGUUUAAAACUUUGAGUUAUUUUUAAUUCAAAGAGUUAAAAAUAAAGCUAACCUACAACCCA
RNAcentral lists this long non-coding RNA (1351 nucleotides) under Vulpes vulpes (red fox). Its description in RNAcentral is "lncRNA (ENSVVUG00000019732.1)". Lineage: Eukaryota; Metazoa; Chordata; Mammalia; Carnivora; Canidae. The record is from RNAcentral.